This 793-nucleotide ribosomal RNA is filed under the name uncultured organism. RNAcentral's name for it is "SSU rRNA". It matches the Rfam family "Bacterial small subunit ribosomal RNA", at positions 676 to 1464 of the family's 1533-position model. The record is from RNAcentral.
GAGCGGUGGAAUGCGCAGAUAUCAGGAGGAACACCAGUGGCGAAGGCGGUUCUCUGGGCCUUUCCUGACGCUGAGGAGCGAAAGCGUGGGGAGCGAACAGGCUUAGAUACCCUGGUAGUCCACGCUGUAAACGGUGGGUACUAGGUGUGGGGUCCAUUCCACGGGUUCCGUGCCGUAGCUAACGCUUUAAGUACCCCGCCUGGGGAGUACGGCCGCAAGGCUAAAACUCAAAGGAAUUGACGGGGCCCCGCACAAGCGGCGGAGCAUGCGGAUUAAUUCGAUGCAACGCGUAGAACCUUACCUGGGUUUGACAUGGAUCGGGAGUGCUCAGAGAUGGGUGUGCCUCUUUUGGGGUCGGUUCACAGGUGGUGCAUGGCUGUCGUCAGCUCGUGUCGUGAGAUGUUGGGUUAAGUCCCGCAACGAGCGCAACCCUUGUUCACUGUUGCCAGCACGUUAUGGUGGGGACUCAGUGGAGACCGCCGGGGUCAACUCGGAGGAAGGUGGGGAUGACGUCAAGUCAUCAUGCCCCUUAUGUCCAGGGCUUCACGCAUGCUACAAUGGCUGGUACAGAGAGUGGCGAGCCUGUGAGGGUGAGCGAAUCUCGGAAAGCCGGUCUCAGUUCGGAUUGGGGUCUGCAACUCGACCUCAUGAAGUCGGAGUCGCUAGUAAUCGCAGAUCAGCAACGCUGCGGUGAAUACGUUCCCGGGGCUUGUACACACCGCCCGUCAAGUCAUGAAAGUUGGUAACACCCGAAGCCGGUGGCCUAACCGUUGUGGGGGAGCCGUCGAAGGUG